This 334-nucleotide ribosomal RNA is filed under the name uncultured eukaryote. Its description in RNAcentral is "partial 18S ribosomal RNA". It matches the Rfam family "Eukaryotic small subunit ribosomal RNA", at positions 1470 to 1796 of the family's 1831-position model. The record is from RNAcentral.
CCCUUAGAUGUCCGGGGCCGCACGCGCGCUACACUGAAGGAAUCAGCGUGGCUUUCUCCCUGACCCGAAAGGGUUGGGAAACCCGUUGAAUCUCCUUCGUGAUAGGGAUUGGGGCUUGAAAUUGUUCCCCAUGAACGAGGAAUUCCCAGUAAGCGCGAGUCAUAAGCUCGCGUUGAUUACGUCCCUGCCCUUUGUACACACCGCCCGUCGCUACUACCCAUUGAACGGUUUAGUGAGGGCCUCGGAUUGGUCUCGGCCCGCUCUUUACCGGGCGGCGCCGUUGGUCGAGAAGACGCUCGAACUUGAUCGUUUAGAGGAAGUAAAAGUCGUAACA